CUUGAGUUUGUGGUGUUUUUGAACUUAAGUUGGUGGUGUUUUUGAACUUGAGUUUCGUGUUUGAAAUUUAGUUUGUGGUUUUUUUGAACUUGAGUUUGUGUCGUGUUUGAACUUGAGUUUGUGGUCUUUUUGAACUUGAGUUUGGUAUUUUUGAAGUUGAGGAUGUGGAAUUUGUUGUACUUGAGGUUGUGGAAAUUGUUAAACUUGAGUUUGUGUUUUUGUUGAACUUGAGUUUGUGUCGUGUUUGAACUUGAGUUUUUGUGUUUGUUGAACUUAAGUUUGUGUUGUUUUUGAACAUGAGUUUGUUUCAUGUUCGUACUUGAGUUUGUUGCGUUUGUUAAACUUGAGUUUGAGUGGUUGUUGAACUUGAGGUUGUGGCAAUUGUUAAACUUGAGAUUUGGUUGUUGGUUGAACUAUAGUUUGUGUCGUGUUUGAACUUGAGUUUGUUUUGUGUUUGAACUUGAGUUUGUGGUUUUAGUUGAACUUGAGUUUGUGUCGUGUUUGAACUUGAGUUUUUGUGUUUGUUGAAAUUAACUUUGUGUUGUUUUUGAACAUGAGUUAUUUUUCAUGUUUGAACUUGAGUUUGUGGCGUUUGUUGAACUUGAGUUUGUGUGGUUGUUGAACUUGAGGUUGUUGCAAUUGUUAAACUUGAAAUUUGGUUGUUGGUUGAACUAUGGUUUGUGUCGUGUUUGAACUUGAGUUUGUGUCGUGUUUGAACUUGAGUUUUUGUGUUUGUUGAACUUAACUUUGUGUUGUUUUUGAACAUGAGUUAUUUUUCAUGUUUGAACUUGAGUUUGUGGCGUUUGUUGAACUUGAGUUUGUGUGGUUGUUGAACUUGAGGUUGUUGCAAUUGUUAAACUUGAAAUUUGGUUGUUGGUUGAACUAUGGUUUGUGUCGUGUUUGAACUUGAGUUUGUUUUGUGUUUGAACUUGAGUUUGUUUUGUGUUUGAACUUGAGUUUGUGUCAUGUUUGAACUUGAUUUUUUGGUGUUUUUGAACUUGAGUUUGUGAUGUGUUAUUGAACUUGAGUUGGUUUCGGAUUUGAACUUGAGUUUGUUUCGUGUUUGAA
Non-coding RNA from Xyrichtys novacula (pearly razorfish), 1068 nucleotides. NCBI's taxonomy places the organism in Eukaryota, Metazoa, Chordata, Actinopteri, Labriformes, Labridae. The record is from the annotation of a GenBank genome assembly.